This 594-nucleotide long non-coding RNA is filed under the name Olea europaea (common olive). Its description in RNAcentral is "long non-coding RNA (OEUR_LNC004271)". The record is from RNAcentral. Lineage: Eukaryota; Viridiplantae; Streptophyta; Magnoliopsida; Lamiales; Oleaceae.
UGUUGUGAUUCUCCGAUCACGUGAAGAGAAAAUAAAAGAGGAAAAAUAAUUCUAUUUCUACUUGAAUAGAAUUUACAAUGGAGUUUACAAACUCUCAACAAAAAAACCUCUCAAAAGAGUCUCUCGAAUCUCUCUUUUAUUUCUCUCUUCUACCCUCUUUUUUCUCUUCCUCUCGUGGGAAGGAAUCUCUCUUUUAUUGUGGCCUUAAAAUUUUUUUCUCUUUGUAAACACCCCUAUUUAUAGAGAACAAUGUUGCAAGAACCGCCAUAAAUUAUGGCCCAAAAUCUACCAAACAAACCGCCUCAAUUUUCUAGUCCAAAAAUUGCCAGCCAACUGCCUAACAAUUCUGCCAAAGAGCUGCCAUGAAAAUGCAUGAAACCAGGCUGUUUUCAUGCAAAUUUCCAGCUGUAAUUUAAUGCAUGAAUCAGAAAAUGGUGGCUGCAACGUCUGAGGCGGUUGGGAGCUUCUAGCAUGUGGGAGGUAAGGUGGCUGGAGAAUUUUAAUUGAAAUUGUCUUCCUUUUGCAUGGUUGAUUUUUCAAUUUCUUCAGCUGGAAGAAACUCCAAAAUUGCAGCUGUAAUACGGCAAAAAUACG